GGAGGAGGAGGAGGGCGGGGCGCCGUUUGAAAAACCGCGGCCAAGACUGAAGAUUCGAACCGAGAGCGGUGGACACACACACUGGGAACGCCCCUCACGUGAUGUCAUGGGCACGUGGGCUUGAAGUAAAAGCCACAGUUAUGUUCCAGAGUGAACAGAACAGCACGAAAAAGAUCAAUAAGGUCAAGAUUAAUGAGUGCCUUCAUUAGAUUGUGAUGUCGCUUCUGUCAAAAAGUGGUACAGCAAGGAUCAUAUUUCCUGUGCCGUGGCAGACCACCUUUAACAAGCCCCUGGACAGUUUGGCAGUGGAGGCUAC
Long non-coding RNA from Colossoma macropomum (tambaqui), 316 nucleotides. RefSeq lists it as uncharacterized. NCBI's taxonomy places the organism in Eukaryota, Metazoa, Chordata, Actinopteri, Characiformes, Serrasalmidae. The transcript has 3 exons. The record is from RefSeq and is a predicted model, not a curated record.